AUCCUGGCUCAGGAUGAACGCUAGCUACAGGCUUAACACAUGCAAGUCGAGGGGCAUCAGGGUGUAGCAAUACACCGCUGGCGACCGGCGCACGGGUGAGUAACACGUAUCCAACCUGCCCUUUACUCGGGGAUAGCCUUUCGAAAGAAAGAUUAAUACCCGAUGGUAUAACAUGACCUCCUGGUUUUGUUAUUAAAGAAUUUCGGUAGAGGAUGGGGAUGCGUUCCAUUAGGCAGUUGGCGGGGUAACAG
This 251-nucleotide ribosomal RNA is filed under the name uncultured bacterium. RNAcentral describes it as "partial 16S ribosomal RNA". It matches the Rfam family "Bacterial small subunit ribosomal RNA", at positions 16 to 263 of the family's 1533-position model. The record is from RNAcentral.